CAGUGAGUCUGACGACGCGAAUAGUGCUUCUAGAAUUGUAUUCCUUUUCAUUUCGCGUUCUCUAUUUAUCGUCUCGUUACAUCUGUUGACGAUCAGCCACGACGAAAUUCUUUGAGUCUUGAAACGCGCUUUCAGCGAUGAUGGACCCUCGUAGGAUGGGUUUUUUUCUCGUGUUUUGUGAGUCAAGCUGGACCAUCUGGUGCAACGAUAAAAUGAAUAAAUUUGUAUCAGGCUACAAAGCUUUGAAAAAACCUUUCAUGGGAUACGAAGCAAGUUUCACUUGUAAUUGAACUGAAAGCAAACUCCCGAAAACACUGAGAUUGUUCAUUGGAUUAUUUUUGUAUUUCGAUCGGAAUAAAUGAAAAUGUAUUCAGUCUUCAAUUUUUUCCUGAUAAUUCCGAAUUUCUCUUAUCUCGUAUCGGAGGUGCGUAUAUACUCGAGUUCGAGAAAUCGAUUUAUAACGUUCUCGAGAAAUAUAUUUUUGUUCAUUUCUCACCGUGAAGGCAAGAACUUCCCAAUUCUCAACUUCCAGAAUUUCUAUGCUGGAGGCAAAACAGUGUUUGAAGAAAAUAAGUUCCGCAUGAAAAAAUGAUGUAUUCUGAAUAUAUUUUAAAACGAAUCCACCGUUUCGCGCAUAUGUGCUGGAAAAAAACGAAACUGCGGUCGUCUCGAGUGCUGUGCUGUUGAAUUAACUUUUCGCCAUAACAUUUUUUCCCAACUGAAUUUGUUCGAUGAAUAAAAUUAUUAUGUCUGUGUUGCAUUAUUGACGAAAAUAUAUCGAUAUCCAUCAGCCCAUUGUUCGAAGCUUGCUGAUAAUAACGUGCUUGUUAUUAUUGCGAAAUAAUCAAAUAAUGUAACUCGAGCCAUGUUUCUCAAAAGUUCUCUGGUUACAAGAAUAUGUGACCGUUCAGUGUGCAUAUCUUUAAAGUGUAAACGGUGCGAUCCAAUCCAAUGUGAAAUAAUUUCAGCGCAAUAAAUUAAAUUGUUGGCGAAGGAAAAUAUUUUAAAAACAAUGAGUAAAAUAGACAAGUUACAAAUGUCAUAAUUCUCUCGAAUCAACACGAACGAAAUACGCAUUUUUCUCUGACUCGACCAUAAUUUGUUAUCACCACGUAAGCUCGUGACAAAAAAAAAGAGAAAAACCAAGUUUACACGUACGACAGUGCGAGUGAAAUACUGCAAUUGUAGCCAAACACUAUUUUCCCAUCAUUUUUAUUCUCACGUAAAUAACUGGAGCCAUUAAACUGUUGUGAGAAUUUUUUUUAACGAAAAUUAAACGAAUUUAAAAAAACGAACGACGAACACCUAAAAAUACACUGAGAGAAAAAAUUAUUAAAUUUGAGAACAUGUAUUUACUUAUUAAAUCAAAGUAUUGUUUCGAUUAUUUAUUUGUUGAACCAAGCGAAUCACUCUUGAUUUGAAAACUUAUUUUCAUGGAUCUAUUACUUCAUUAUAUUAAACUCUUAUUUAAUUCAUUGUUCAAAAACGUGCUCAAAGUUGAUAGUGCGCGUAAAAAGCACUUUUUCGGUUAAAUCUCUCGUAAAAAAUUAAAUUUUGAGUUUUGAAAAAAAUCCUUACAGAGUUUUACAGACAAGGGUCCAUGCUUUAAGGGAAAAAUAGUCCACUUUGCAACCGUUCCAAAAAGUGUAUUUAUUUUGGAGUAUGAAGUUGGCUAUGCUCCCUACUUUUAGAGAGGGGAUAACGAUGUCUUAAUAUUGGGGGCUUUACUUAUGAGAUGCUCAUCUGUAAAUGCUAUUCAUGUGAGGAAAAAAUUUUGGGGUCAACCUGAUCCCAGAUGCACACUAAGGGUAGUAUCGAUUAGAUGCAUGAUAGAUUUGAUUAAAUUUUUUUUGCUUGGAUUAAUUACAUUUAUCGCAUCAAAAACAUUAUAUUAUUUGAAUCUACAAAACGACUUCAAUACGAAAUUGCUUUUUUCGAAAAAAUUAUUUUCUUGCAAUGAAUUCAUCAUCAUUUUGUUUCUAAAAAUAUUUUUAUUAAAAUAAUUAAUCUAAUUGUUACUAUUAAAUAAGAACUCAAUAUGAUGAAGUGAUACAUCCGUGAAAAUAUGUUUUCAAAUUAACAGUAAUUGUCAAGGUUCAACAAAUAAAUAAUCGAUAUAAUACUUUUCGCAACUUAUAUAAUUCCUUUUUCAGUUUAUAUCUAACAAAGUCGUGAUAGUCUAGCGUACCUAGAAAGAUGUAGGUAGGUAUCGCGAAUCCCCAUGCAGGUUAGAAUUUUUCUUCGAUUAAAAUGGUUUCAGAGAUGUACCAUAAACUGUGACGACCAUCACGGGCAGUGAAAAAUAAUUUUGCAAUUGAUAACAUAAUACUGUUAAAAUACAUAAACAAUAUAAUAUAGUUAAAAUCAUGGUUUAUAAAAAGAAUAAGUGCUUCCUUCAAAAACAUGCAUGUUUUGAAUCAUAAAAUGUAUCAUCGAUUCAAACUACAUAUUACAUAUAUAAUUGAUAUAAAAUUGUUAGAUUAAAGCAACUACUGUUAUGGAAACAAAAAUUUAUGAAAUUGACUGAAAUAAAUUAACCAAGUAAAUAUAUGAGGGAACCGAUCUAAUAUGUUUUGGCGAAUAAUGAAAUAAAUGAUUUUUUCGCUUCAAAACUACAUUUUAUUGGUUCUAGUAUUUUUUUUUUCUCAGUGUAUAAAGAUAAAGCUAUUUGACUGAUGGGUAAUCCGAAAAACAUGAACAUAAUAAUUAGUUUCUUUACGCAGUGAGCGAAAGGAUAUUUUUGUUUUUGAAUAAUCGACGCUGUUCAUAGUUGUUAUUUUGUAUUCACAAUCCAUUCAACACUUGUACAAUUGUAUGUUUAAUUGUAAUUUUUCGUCCUUGAAAAAAAAACAAUUGUAAUAAAAGUAAAAUUAAGGUGCCUGCAAUCGGCAGGUUUUCAACAGUUUCCCUCGGCUAAAGCAUGCAUUAGGGGAAAACGGCUAAAGUGGAAUUAAAGUGAUAGAAUGAUUAAUGAUCUCGUAGAGACUCGAUACGUCAUAUACAAGAUCAAUGAGAGAAUUUUUUUUUUAAUAUUGAAAAAUAAAUUUACUUUAUUAUUGCUAUUCGUAUAAUAGAAACAAGACAAGAUCUGUGUGUAUUGAACAAAGAAGAAUUCAAGUAGAAAUUGGCCAUUGUGUGAGGAGAAAAAGCAAAGAUUACUCAUGGUUAUCAUUGGUAAGAUAAAAGUGUUUGAGAUUUCCGUACACGUGAAACGAUCGAUACCAAUCGACGUGGCUUUCCCUUAGUUCUUUUUAUUUUAUCAUUUUCGUUUACAAAAGAGCCUCGGACGCAUCACCCUUAUUUUUUGUGGGAUAUUUUUAGAUUCGUUUUCUUUUUUUUCUUAUGAAAAAGCGUUGGUUUCGUAGGGUGUAGUCGAAAUACCGAGGAUACGUGGAUUAUUUAUCAGGAAAUGAGUCAGCAUGAGGCAGAUAUUAACCCUUAGUAGUCACACCUCCGGAUUGUGACGUAAUAGUCAUUUGUGAGUGAGUGGGGUGUAAUCCACUCCACUCACUUUGGAGAGCGAUAAAUAGUUAACAAAAAAUUGUAAAAAAUAACAAAAUCAAAAUACUACAAUGUAUUUUCAACUCUUGAGAAACGACCAUGACGAUUUUAUUUUAUUCGUGCAAUUUUUAAUAUUAAAAAAAAUGUCGAAAAAAAUGACUUUUUACAAAAAAUUAUGUAGAAUUCGUAAUUUUCAAUAUAAAAAAAAUCAAAUCGUUUUCUAAGCCUGAAAUAUCACGCUUCCAGGUAGAAAUGGUUAAA
Venturia canescens is the source of this 3762-nucleotide long non-coding RNA. RefSeq lists it as uncharacterized. The record is from RefSeq and is a predicted model, not a curated record. The transcript has 3 exons. Lineage: Eukaryota; Metazoa; Arthropoda; Insecta; Hymenoptera; Ichneumonidae.